Molecule: ribosomal RNA, 519 nt
Filed under: uncultured bacterium
Lineage: Bacteria
Description: partial 16S ribosomal RNA
Rfam family: Bacterial small subunit ribosomal RNA
Source: RNAcentral
GACGAACGCUGGCGGCGUGCCUAAUACAUGCAAGUCGAGCGAGUCUGCCUUGAAGAUCGGAGUGCUUGCACUCUGUGAAACAAGAUACAGGCUAGCGGCGGACGGGUGAGUAACACGUGGGUAACCUGCCCAAGAGAUCGGGAUAACACCUGGAAACAGAUGCUAAUACCGGAUAACAACAGAUGAUGCCUACCAACUGUUUAAAAGAUGGUUCUGCUAUCACUCUUGGAUGGACCUGCGGUGCAUUAGCUAGUUGGUAGGGUAACGGCCUACCAAGGCGAUGAUGCAUAGCCGAGUUGAGAGACUGAUCGGCCACAUUGGGACUGAGACACGGCCCAAACUCCUACGGGAGGCAGCAGUAGGGAAUCUUCCACAAUGGACGCAAGUCUGAUGGAGCAACGCCGCGUGAGUGAAGAAGGGUUUCGGCUCGUAAAGCUCUGUUGUUGGUGAAGAAGGACAGGGGUAGUAACUGACCUUUGUUUGACGGUAAUCAAUUAGAAAGUCACGGCUAACUACGUG